This 1411-nucleotide long non-coding RNA is filed under the name Rattus norvegicus (Norway rat). RNAcentral describes it as "long non-coding RNA NONRATT021064". Lineage: Eukaryota; Metazoa; Chordata; Mammalia; Rodentia; Muridae. The record is from RNAcentral.
AGUCCACAUUUGAAAGUCUUUAUUUAGCUGGAGAGAAACAGUUCUCAUUGAGCAGCCUUGAAUAUAUUGCAGGGAGCUUUAAAAGGAAAAACAAAAAUCAGAGAAAAACUAUAUCCUGGUUGGCAGUUGCAAGGGAAGUGAAGCAAGCAAGCAGUUUAACAGAAGCCAAAAACAUGCAGUUAGCCGGGGCAUUUUGACCCCAAGUUUCCAGAAUUUUCCCAUGGGACUUUUCAUGGCAGGGGUAGGAAAGGAGAGUGGGGUCAGUUAAAACAAUGAUGGCUCUAGCUGAGGAGGAAUCUUUGCUAUAACACAAGGAACAAGUUGUGGGAUGUGGUGAUGUGAAUAAAAAUGAUCCUGAGAGGUCUAUAGGGAGUGCCAUAUUAGGAGGUGGGCUUUUCUUUUUGAAUAGGUGUGGCUUUGUUGAAGGAAGUGUGUCACUAGGGCGUGGGCUUUGAGGUCUCAGAAGCUCAAGCCAGGCUUACUAGCUCACUGUCUCCUGCUGUCUGUGGAUCGAGAUACAGAAUUCGCAGCUGCUCCAGCACCAUGACUGCCUACAUGCCACCAUGAUGACAACAGGCUAAACCUUUGAACUGUAAGCCAGCCCCAAUUAAAAUUUUUUUAAUUUUUUUUCUUUUUUCUUUUAAGAAUUGCCAUGGUCAUGGUGUCCCUUUGCAGCAAGAGAAAUCCUAACUAAGACACAGUAAUUCUGUAUAGCUGGUUAAUCAAGUACCUACUGUAGGCCAGGACUUGGGCUUGCCCUACAAACAGAAGACAGUCUUUCAAGGCAGACUUAACUAUGGGAUGUGAUAUUACCUCUAAGUAGAUAGUGACAGAACUGAAUUAAAUGAUAAGAAAUCCAACUGAGGCUGACAAGAUGGCUCAGUAUGCAAAGGUUCUUAUUGCCAAAUCCCCAGGAGGACCAAUCUCCCCAAGCUGUCCUCUGACAUCCACAGGAAUAUACACAGCCAAAAACUGAAUGAAAUAAAUUAAAAGUGAAAAAAACAAUCCAGCUAGUAUAUGGAGAGUAAGAUAAUUGCUUGGUAUAAAGAAAUAUACUCAUUUGCUAUCAGAAUGCUAUGCUUCUGUUUUAGAAUUCUUUUUAAAUGAGUUAUUCUUCAUGUAAACAUGCAAAACUUGUUUAUAGUAUUGUGAAAUCCCAAAUGGAUAACCAAAAUGAUUGGAAAAUAAAGCCAACUAGCCAAACAGUCAUCCAGAAACCUACUUAUGCAAUUAUGUUCUUCUUCUUCCUUCCUGCCUUCCUCUUCUCUGGGAUAGUCUCACUGCACAGCCAAAACCAGCCUGGAACUUCAGGCCCUCCUGCCUCAGAUAUCUCAGUGUUGGGAUUAAAGCGUGUGCUACCAUAUCCAGCUAAGUACUUCUUUAUUAAACUGAAAAAAAUAGUUAAAAUCCU